RNAcentral lists this ribosomal RNA (1212 nucleotides) under Balala lui. RNAcentral describes it as "16S ribosomal RNA". The stretch from base 965 to 1123 matches the Rfam family "Archaeal large subunit ribosomal RNA", at positions 2542 to 2701 of the family's 2987-position model. The record is from RNAcentral. Lineage: Eukaryota; Metazoa; Arthropoda; Insecta; Hemiptera; Cicadellidae.
AUUUAGGAGUUUUUUUUUUUUUUUUUUUUUUUUUUUUUUAUAUAUAUUUAAGUUUAUUUUUAGUUUAUUAUUUAAAUAAUUUUAAAGUUUAAACUGUUAAGGUUAUUUAUUUUUAUAUAGGUUUAAGUUUUUUGUACCUUUUGUAUCAGGGUAUUUUAAUUAUUUAAUUUAUUUUUUUAUCCCGAAUUUAAUAUAUUUAUGUUUUUAUUUUUUAUUUGUUUUAUAAAAUUUAAUAAUUUAAUCAUAGUAGUUAUAUGCUAUUCGUUAUUUUUUAUAUCUGGUUUUUCAGGAUUAAAUUUAAUUUUGGUUAUUAUUUGUUUAUUUAUUAAUAUUUUUUGUAACUUAUAUUAUAAGGGAUAAUCUUUAUAUUUUUUUAUAAUUUUUAAUUUUUAAUUUUUAUUAUUAAUAGUAUUACUAUAUUUAGUUUUUAAUAAAUUUGAUUUUUUUAUUAUGAUUUUUUUUAAUUUAUUAUUCUAUUGAAUUUAUUUAUUAACUUUUUUUUUAUUUUUAAUAAUGAUUUAAUUAGUAAUUUUUAUUUUUUAAGGAUAAUGAAUUCGACAAAUAUGAUUCUUAAUUGUUUAUCAAAAACAUUUCUUUUAGCUGAUAUUGAAGGUAAUUUCUGCUCUAUGAAUAUUUUAAAUGGCCGCGGUAUAUUGACCGUGCAAAGGUAGCAUAAUAAUUAGUUUAUUAAUUGUAAACUUGUAUGAAUGGAUGUAUAAGGAAUUUUUUUUAUUUUUUUAAUUUUUUGAAUUUUACUUUUAAGUUAAAAGGCUUAAUUUUUUUAUUGGGACGAUAAGACCCUAUAGAACUUAAUUUUUAAUUAAAAUUUAUGUUUUUUUGUUUUUUUAAAUUUUUUAAUUUUUUAAUUGGGGUGAUUAAUAAAUUUAAACUUUAUUUAUUUAUUUCAUUGUUUUAGUGUUUUUUUGUUCCUUUUUCUUGGGUUAAAAGAUAAAGUUACCUUAGGGAUAACAGCGUAAUUUUAGUGGGGAGUUCUUAUUUAUACUAAAGUUUUCGACCUCGAUGUUGAAUUAAGAUAACUUUGAGGGGUAGUUUUUUCUUUAGUAAGUCUGUUCGACUUUUAAAUUCUUACAUGAUUUGAGUUCAAACCGGUGUGAGCCAGGUUGGUUUCUAUCUAAUAAUUUUUUCAUUCUUUAGUACGAAAGGACCUAGAAUGUUUAGUUUUUAAUUUAUGUUAUGUUUUAUAUUAAUUUU